UACAGAGGGUGCGAGCGUUAAUCGGAAUUACUGGGCGUAAAGCGUGCGUAGACGGUUACGUAAGUCGGGUGUGAAAGCCCCGGGCUCAACCUGGGAAUUGCAUUCGAGACUGCGUAGCUAGGGUGCGGAAGAGGGAAGCGGAAUUUCCGGUGUAGCGGUGAAAUGCGUAGAUAUCGGAAGGAACAUCAGUGGCGAAAGCGGCUUCCUGGUCCAGCACCGACGUUCAGGCACGAAAGCGUGGGGAGCAAACAGG
This 253-nucleotide ribosomal RNA is filed under the name uncultured bacterium. RNAcentral's name for it is "partial 16S ribosomal RNA". It matches the Rfam family "Bacterial small subunit ribosomal RNA", at positions 524 to 776 of the family's 1533-position model. The record is from RNAcentral.